GAUGAACGCUGGCGGCGUGCCUAAUACAUGCAAGUCGAGCGAACAGACGAGGAGCUUGCUCCUCUGACGUUAGCGGCGGACGGGUGAGUAACACGUGGAUAACCUACCUAUAAGACUGGGAUAACUUCGGGAAACCGGAGCUAAUACCGGAUAAUAUAUUGAACCGCAUGGUUCAAUAGUGAAAGACGGUUUUGCUGUCACUUAUAGAUGGAUCCGCGCCGCAUUAGCUAUUUGGUAAGGUAACGGCUUACCAAGGCAACGAUGCGUAGCCGACCUGAGAGGGUGAUCGGCCACACUGGAACUGAGACACGGUCCAGACUCCUACGGGAGGCAGCAGUAGGGAAUCUUCCGCAAUGGGCGAAAGCUUGCCGGAGCAACGCCGCGUGAGUGAUGAAGGUCUUCGGAUCGUAAAACUCUGUUAUUAGGGAAGAACAAAUGUGUAAGUAACUAUGCACGUCUUGACGGUACCUAAUCAGAAAGCCACGGCUAACUACGUG
RNAcentral lists this ribosomal RNA (497 nucleotides) under uncultured bacterium. RNAcentral describes it as "partial 16S ribosomal RNA". It matches the Rfam family "Bacterial small subunit ribosomal RNA", at positions 28 to 507 of the family's 1533-position model. The record is from RNAcentral.